CCUACGGGAGGCAGCAGUGGGGAAUAUUGCACAAUGGGGGAAACCCUGAUGCAGCGACGCCGCGUGAGUGAAGAAGUAAUUCGUUAUGUAAAGCUCUAUCAGCAGGGAAGAAAAUGACGGUACCUGAGUAAGAAGCCCCGGCUAACUACGUGCCAGCAGCCGCGGUAAUACGUAGGGGGCAAGCGUUAUCCGGAUUUACUGGGUGUAAAGGGAGCGUAGACGGCAGUGCAAGUCUGGAGUGAAAGGCUGGGGCUCAACCCCCGGACUGAUAUGGAAACUGUACGGCUGGAGUGCAGGAGAGGUAAGUGGAAUUCCUGGGGUAGCGGUGAAAUGCGUAGAUAUUAGGAGGAACACCAGUGGCGAAGGCGGCUUACUGGACUGUAACUGACGUUGAGGCUCGAAAGCGUGGGGAGCAAACAGGAUUAGAUACCCUAGUAGUC
This 440-nucleotide ribosomal RNA is filed under the name uncultured bacterium. Its description in RNAcentral is "partial 16S ribosomal RNA". It matches the Rfam family "Bacterial small subunit ribosomal RNA", at positions 338 to 795 of the family's 1533-position model. The record is from RNAcentral.